CCUACGGGAGGCAGCAGUGAGGAAUAUUGGUCAAUGGUCGGGAGACUGAACCAGCCAAGCCGCGUGAGGGAUGAAGGUACAGAGUAUCGUAAACCUCUUUUGUCAGGGAACAAAGGCGGGGACGUGUCCCCGGAUGAGUGUACCUGAAGAAAAAGCAUCGGCUAACUCCGUGCCAGCAGCCGCGGUAAUACGGGGGAUGCGAGCGUUAUCCGGAUUUAUGGGGUUUAAAGGGUGGGCAGGCGGUCUGUUAAGUAAGAGGUCAAAGCCCGGGGCUCAACCCCGGACCGCCGUUGACACUGGCAGUCUCGAGUUGGAGAGAGGUAUGCGGAAUGCGCGGUGUAGCGGUGAAAUGCAUAGAUAUCGCGCAGAACUCCGAUUGCGAAGGCAGCAUGCCGGCUCCACACUGACGCUGAGGCACGAAAGCGUGGGUAUCGAACAGGAUUAGAUACCCCAGUAGUC
RNAcentral lists this ribosomal RNA (459 nucleotides) under uncultured bacterium. Its description in RNAcentral is "partial 16S ribosomal RNA". It matches the Rfam family "Bacterial small subunit ribosomal RNA", at positions 338 to 795 of the family's 1533-position model. The record is from RNAcentral.